GAUGAACGCUGGCGGCGUGCUUAAUACAUGCAAGUCGAGCGAACGGACGAGAAGCUUGCUUCUCUGAUGUUAGCGGGGGACGGGAGAGUAACACGAGGUUCACCUACCUAUAGGACUGGGUUAAGUUCGGGAAACCGUAGCUAAUACCGGAUAAUAUUUUGAACCGGAUGGUUCAAAAGUGACAGACGGUCUUGCUGUCACUUAUAGAUGUAUCCGCGCUGCAUUAGCUAGUUGGUAGGGUAACGGCUUACCAAGGCAACGAUGCAUAGCCGACCUGAGAGGGUGAUCGGCCACACUGGAACUGAGACACGGUCCAGACUCCUACGGGAGGCAGCAGUAGGGAAUCUUGCGCAAUGGGCGAAAGCCUGACGGAGCAACGCCGCGUGAGUGAUGAAGGUCUUCGGAUCGUAAAACUCUGUUAUUAGGGAAGAACACAUGUGUAAGUAGCUGUGCACAUCUUGACGGUACCUACUCAAAAAGCAACGGCUAACUACGUG
This 497-nucleotide ribosomal RNA is filed under the name uncultured bacterium. Its description in RNAcentral is "partial 16S ribosomal RNA". It matches the Rfam family "Bacterial small subunit ribosomal RNA", at positions 28 to 507 of the family's 1533-position model. The record is from RNAcentral.